CCCCUAUGUUCUAUUUUUAGCCAUGGCGGCCAUCUUGGUUGGUUGGGCGGGGCAUCGGACACAUUUUUUAACUAAAUACCCCAAUGAUGAUUAUGGCCAAGUUUGGUUAAAUUUGGCCCAGUAGUUUCAGAGGAGAAGAUUUUUCUAAAAGAUUACUAAGAUUUACGAAAAAUGGUUAAAAAUUGACUAUAAAGGGCAAUAACUCCUAAAGCGCUCAACUGACCAUUUUGGUCAUGUUGACUUAUUUGUAGAUCUUACUUUGCUGAACAUUAUUGCUGUUUACGGUUUAUCUCUAUCUAUAAUAAUAUUCAAGAUAAUAACC
This 322-nucleotide long non-coding RNA is filed under the name Mytilus galloprovincialis (Mediterranean mussel). The record is from RNAcentral. Lineage: Eukaryota; Metazoa; Mollusca; Bivalvia; Mytilida; Mytilidae.